UUGACAGAUUGCGAUUCGUGCUCGCGUCGUCUGCCAAAGAUGAUUUGCAAAUUUUUCAUACUAGAAGCAAGGAGAUUGAAAAUUAUUCACAGGAAUAACAGUUUAUUUUGAGGCAAACAAAAUCAACAUUCAAUUAAAUAAAAAAGAGAGUUAAGGAAUUUACGUGCUUUUCCAUGCAUUGUAAGAUUUCCAGAAUAUAGAACAUGUAGUUCCUGAUAAAAAAAACACCAAAAGAUUGCUACGAUAAAACUGUUGAGUAACUAUUUGUAAUACAGAAUGCAUCAAGAUGGUGGUAUGCUACAUAUAUAAUAUUGAUACUAUGACAGAUGAGAAAAGAAACUGAAGACAUAACCAAAUGCUGAAGUCAGCAAAGAUUAAGAUAUAAGGAGUAGAUAUUUUCCUGAAAAUCUCAUUUAUGUCUCGAAUGUGAAGGGAACAGAAGCUAUCAUGAUGAUUCUUUAAAGAAAGAUACAGAGACACAAGCUCCUGUAGACACUUAUGAAAAAGAAGAUGUUUUUGCAAUGAAUAUGUGUGAAUGUGAUAAAUUAUGGCAAAUCAACAUGGUCAAUUAACAACAAUAUGUUCUACAAAGUUCCUAGAUUUAUAAGUUUCAUAACAUUUAGUUGAGGCAAACUGAAGUUAGAUAACUAAAAAAAUUGCAAAUAAAUAUUGCUAUUAAAUACUCAGUUUUAGUUAUUUUUAUUUUGAUAUUAAAAAAAUACUGCAUUAGAUAAAAACUAGUUAUACAUUUAAAAAAUUAGUAACCCUCAUGUCUCCCUGCAUUAGAAGUUGCAUAAUUUAGCAUUUACAGAUGAAAUAUAAUUGUGAGUAAAGUUCAUCAUGUGAAAUAGUCUGACUGGAUAUGACAGAACAUCAAAAGAAAUGACGAAAAAUUACACAUCUUAUCAAAAUAGUACUACUAGAAACCAAAAGCUACUUGCAAUUUUCACUGGUUUUAAUUGAGAUCAGUAACAGUCAGACAAGGAAAGAAUUUAAUGAACAUGAUUAUGAUGCCUCUUGAUAAAUAUAAAAACAUAUUGACUGUAAAAUAAUUACCAGUUACCAAUUAUAUCUGUUGUUUACAAAAUUUGUUAUUUGGAAAUAUCUGUUGAAUGUUUUGAAAUUAAAAUGUGUUAACUGAAAUGAUUAAAGAAUUGAAGUCUUUAAAUGAUACAAAAGCAAGGAUACAUUGAAUGAUUGCAAUUGAGACAACUGCUAGCCCUGCAUAGAAGGGCACUGAUGUAAACAAGUACAGAUCACCUGAAGUCUUCAACAAUGAGCAAAAGCCUGAAUUUAAAGAUCGUUAUACAUGGGCUUAUUAAGUCCCAAGAUAAUGGUAUCUACAUCCUUUGCUUUCAAAUUUUUGUUAGUAUGUUUCUGAUGAAGGUUAAUUAAAAUAAGCCCAGCACACUCAAUUUGUGAACUGUUUUUAUUUAAUUUCAAAAGAGAAAGCUA
Mytilus trossulus (common blue mussel) is the source of this 1455-nucleotide long non-coding RNA. RefSeq lists it as uncharacterized. Lineage: Eukaryota; Metazoa; Mollusca; Bivalvia; Mytilida; Mytilidae. The transcript has 3 exons. The record is from RefSeq and is a predicted model, not a curated record.